Molecule: ribosomal RNA, 402 nt
Filed under: uncultured Sphingobacteriales bacterium
Lineage: Bacteria; Pseudomonadati; Bacteroidota; Sphingobacteriia; Sphingobacteriales
Description: bacterial SSU rRNA
Rfam family: Bacterial small subunit ribosomal RNA
Source: RNAcentral
CUACGAACGUAAGAUGACUGUAGGUGAAAGCUUACAUCUCUUCGGAGCAUUUUACGAGGUGCUGCAUGGUUGUUGUCAGCUCGUGCCGUGAGGUGUCGGGUUAAGUCCCAUAACGAGCGCAACCCUACCUUUAGUUGCCAUCAGGUAAUGCUGGGGACUCUAAAGGAACUGCCUACGCAAGUAGUGAGGAAGGCGGGGAUGACGUCAAAUCAGCACGGCCCUUACGUCCAGGGCUACAUACGUGCUACAAUGGCCGAUACAGAGGGCAGCUACCUGGUGACAGGAUGCAAAUCUCCAAAGUCGGUCUCAGUUCGGAUCGGAGUCUGCAACCCGACUCCGUGAAGUUGGAUUCGCUAGUAAUCGCGCAUCAGCCAUGGCGCGGUGAAUACGUUCCCGGGCCUU